CGUGCAGCCGGAGAGACAAGUCAGAUGUGAAAUCCGCGGGCUUAACCCGCGAACUGCAUUUGAAACUGUUUCCCUUGAGUAUCGGAGAGGUAAUCGGAAUUCCUAGUGUAGCGGUGAAAUGCGUAGAUAUUAGGAAGAACACCAGUGGCGAAGGCGGAUUACUGGACGACAACUGACGGUGAGGCGCGAAAGCGUGGGGAGCAAACA
RNAcentral lists this ribosomal RNA (207 nucleotides) under uncultured bacterium. RNAcentral describes it as "partial 16S ribosomal RNA". It matches the Rfam family "Bacterial small subunit ribosomal RNA", at positions 568 to 774 of the family's 1533-position model. The record is from RNAcentral.